Molecule: microRNA, 23 nt
Filed under: Bos taurus (domestic cattle)
Lineage: Eukaryota; Metazoa; Chordata; Mammalia; Artiodactyla; Bovidae
Description: bta-miR-2477
Source: miRBase by way of RNAcentral
GUGGAAUGAUGAUAAGUCUGACG